This 253-nucleotide ribosomal RNA is filed under the name uncultured bacterium. RNAcentral describes it as "partial 16S ribosomal RNA". It matches the Rfam family "Bacterial small subunit ribosomal RNA", at positions 524 to 776 of the family's 1533-position model. The record is from RNAcentral.
UACGUAGGGUGCGAGCGUUAAUCGGAAUUACUGGGCGUAAAGCGUGCGCCGGCGGUUUUGUAAGCCAGAUGUGAAAUCCCCGGGCUUAACCUGGGAAUGGCAUUUGGGACUGCAAGGCUCGAGUGCGGCAGAGGAGACUGGAAUUCCUGGUGUAGCAGUGAAAUGCGUAGAUAUCAGGAGGAACACCGAUGGCGAAGGCAGGUCUCUGGGCUGACACUGACGCUCAUGCACGAAAGCGUGGGGAGCAAACAGG